RNAcentral lists this ribosomal RNA (501 nucleotides) under uncultured bacterium. Its description in RNAcentral is "partial 16S ribosomal RNA". It matches the Rfam family "Bacterial small subunit ribosomal RNA", at positions 30 to 523 of the family's 1533-position model. The record is from RNAcentral.
AUUGAACGCUGGCGGCAGGCUUAACACAUGCAAGUCGAGCGGAGCGAGGGUGCUUGCACCUUAGCUUAGCGGCGGACGGGUGAGUAAUGCUUAGGAAUCUGCCUAUUAGUGGGGGACAACAUUCCGAAAGGAAUGCUAAUACCGCAUACGCCCUACGGGGGAAAGCAGGGGAUCUUCGGACCUUGCGCUAAUAGAUGAGCCUAAGUCGGAUUAGCUAGUUGGUGGGGUAAAGGCCUACCAAGGCGACGAUCCGUAGCGGGUCUGAGAGGAUGAUCCGCCACACUGGGACUGAGACACGGCCCAGACUCCUACGGGAGGCAGCAGUGGGGAAUAUUGGACAAUGGGCGGAAGCCUGAUCCAGCCAUGCCGCGUGUGUGAAGAAGGCCUUUUGGUUGUAAAGCACUUUAAGCGAGGAGGAGGCUACUUAGAUUAAUACUCUGGGAUAGUGGACGUUACCCGCAGAAUAAGCACCGGCUAACUCUGUGCCAGCCGCCGCAGUAA